AGCGAAAUUCCUUGUCAGGUAAGUUCUGACCCGCACGAAAGGUGUAAUGAUUUGGGAGCUGUCUCAACAAUGUACUCGGCGAAAUUGUAGUACUAGUGAAGAUGCUAGUUACCUGCGACAAGACAGAAAGACCCCAUGGAGCUUUACUGUAGUUUGAUACUGGGUUUUGGUCAUUUAUGUACAGGAUAGGUGGGAGACGAAGAGAUACUGGCGCCAGCUGGU
Molecule: ribosomal RNA, 222 nt
Filed under: Acinetobacter baumannii
Lineage: Bacteria; Pseudomonadati; Pseudomonadota; Gammaproteobacteria; Moraxellales; Moraxellaceae
Description: partial 23S ribosomal RNA
Rfam family: Bacterial large subunit ribosomal RNA
Source: RNAcentral